GAUGAACGCUGGCGGCGUGCCUAAUACAUGCAAGUCGAGCGAACCUCUUCGGAGGUUAGCGGCGGACGGGUGAGUAACACGUGGGCAACCUACCUUGUGGAUGGGGAUAACAUCGAGAAAUCGGUGCUAAUACCGAAUAACACUUUUCUCCACAUGGAGAAAAGUUAAAAGUUGGCUUUUGCUAACACUAAAAGAUGGGCACGCGGCGCAUUAGCUAGUUGGUGAGGUAACGGAUCACCAAGGCUACGAUGCGUAGCCGACUGGAGAGGGUGACCGGGCACACUGGGAAAGAGACACGGCCCAGACUCCUACGGGCGGCAGGAGUAGGGAAUCUUCCGCAAUGGACGAAAGUCUGACGGAGCAACGCCGCGUGAGUGAUGAAGGCCUUCGGGUCGUAAAACUCUGUUGUUAGGGAAGAAUAAGUACCGUUCGAAUAGGGCGGUACCGUGACGGUACCUAACCAGAAAACCACGGCCAACUACGUGCCAGCCGCCGCCGUAA
Molecule: ribosomal RNA, 501 nt
Filed under: uncultured bacterium
Lineage: Bacteria
Description: partial 16S ribosomal RNA
Rfam family: Bacterial small subunit ribosomal RNA
Source: RNAcentral